GAACGUGCCUUUAGGUUCGGAAUAACUCAGGGAAACUUGUGCUAAUACCGAAUGUGCCCUUCGGGGGAAAGAUUUAUCGCCUUUAGAGCGGCCCGCGUCUGAUUAGCUAGUUGGUGAGGUAAAGGCUCACCAAGGCGACGAUCAGUAGCUGGUCUGAGAGGAUGAUCAGCCACAUUGGGACUGAGACACGGCCCAAACUCCUACGGGAGGCAGCAGUGGGGAAUCUUGCGCAAUGGGCGAAAGCCUGACGCAGCCAUGCCGCGUGAAUGAUGAAGGUCUUAGGAUUGUAAAAUUCUUUCACCGGGGACGAUAAUGACGGUACCCGGAGAAGAAGCCCCGGCUAACUUCGUGCCAGCAGCCGCGGUAAUACGAAGGGGGCUAGCGUUGCUCGGAAUUACUGGGCGUAAAGGGAGCGUAGGCGGACAUUUAAGUCAGGGGUGAAAUCCCGGGGCCCAACCUCGGAAUUGCCUUUGAUACUGGGUGUCUUGAGUAUGAGAGAGGUGUGUGGAACUCCGAGUGUAGAGGUGAAAUUCGUAGAUAUUCGGAAGAACACCAGUGGCGAAGGCGACACACUGGCUCAUUACUGACGCUGAGGCUCGAAAGCGUGGGGAGCAAA
RNAcentral lists this ribosomal RNA (616 nucleotides) under uncultured Brevundimonas sp. Its description in RNAcentral is "bacterial SSU rRNA". It matches the Rfam family "Bacterial small subunit ribosomal RNA", at positions 122 to 772 of the family's 1533-position model. Lineage: Bacteria; Pseudomonadati; Pseudomonadota; Alphaproteobacteria; Caulobacterales; Caulobacteraceae. The record is from RNAcentral.